CUUGACGACCAUAGAGCAUUGGAACCACCUGAUCCCAUCCCGAACUCAGCAGUGAAACGAUGCAUCGCCGAUGGUAGUGUGGGGCUUCCCCAUGUGAGAGUAGGACAUCGUCAAGA
RNAcentral lists this ribosomal RNA (116 nucleotides) under Pseudomonas putida. RNAcentral also lists the same sequence under 9 other names. Lineage: Bacteria; Pseudomonadati; Pseudomonadota; Gammaproteobacteria; Pseudomonadales; Pseudomonadaceae. The record is from RNAcentral.